This 441-nucleotide ribosomal RNA is filed under the name uncultured bacterium. RNAcentral describes it as "bacterial SSU rRNA". It matches the Rfam family "Bacterial small subunit ribosomal RNA", at positions 8 to 436 of the family's 1533-position model. The record is from RNAcentral.
AGAGUUUGAUCCUGGCUCAGAAUCAACGCUGGCGGCGUGCCUAACACAUGCAAGUCGAACGCGAAAGCCCCGCAAGGGGUAAGUAGAGUGGCAAACGGGUGAGUAACGCGUGGGUGACCUGCCUUCGAGUGGGGGAUAACCUUCCGAAAGGAGGGCUAAUACCGCAUGACAUUCCGUGUUUGGAUACAUGGAAAUCAAAGCCGGGGAUCGCAAGACCUGGCGCUUGAAGAGGGACCUGCGUCCGAUUAGCUAGUUGGUGGGGUAACGGCUCACCAAGGCUCCGAUCGGUAUCCGGCCUGAGAGGGCGGACGGACACACUGGAACUGAGACACGGUCCAGACUCCUACGGGAGGCAGCAGUGGGGAAUUGUUCGCAAUGGGCGCAAGCCUGACGACGCAACGCCGCGUGGAGGAUGAAGACCUUCGGGUCGUAAACUCCUUU